GUGGUCACUUCGGCAGCACGUAUACCAAAAUUGGAAUGAUACAGAGGAGAAUUGCAUGGCCCCUGCACAAGGAUGACAAUUUUGUUUUUUGAGAUGGUGUCUUGCUCU
This is a small nuclear RNA of Cebus imitator (Panamanian white-faced capuchin), 108 nucleotides long. The record is from Ensembl. NCBI's taxonomy places the organism in Eukaryota, Metazoa, Chordata, Mammalia, Primates, Cebidae.